UUGACAAAGGCUAUAAACAUUCUGGAACCUGAUUACAUUGCACUGUCAGAGAUCACUGAAUAUUUUUUCAUUCUCAUGAGAUUUGUUUUGCUACAUAUUACUCUAGAAACUCAGAAAAGCUACUAAAAAUAAGCUUGGCCGCUAGUGGUGGUAACAUAAACUGUUUCUCAUGAAACAAGCCAGGUUCACUUAAGCAAUAUACUCCCAAGGGGACAUUCAAAAUUAUAAGCUAUUUAUUCUUCUAUGUUAGUAAUUCAUUUGCUUCCAUAUUUAGGAAAGCAUAUUAGAAUCAUGGGAGUGAAACAUUAAAAGGAAAACCUUGAAUCUAUUUUAUAUAAUAGGGAACAUCAUUUCUAUACAGUAUUGCACACUGAGAGAUUGCCUUAACUACAAAACCAUGGAGAUGCUGAACUGAACUAAAUGAAACAACAGACUUUCUGAAAGCUGUGAGCAUCUUAAAAGAAAGUGCUCUGAACAUAAUUACAAAAGCUUUGAAUCCAGAAUCAAAAACGAGCAGUUUGAUCACAUAAAAGCUAAUUUCUGAAAACUACUACACACAGAGAUUCAAAGUCAAAGGGAGGACAAACUCAGAACUCUUCAGGAGCAACCAGCAGAAAAAUAUUUUCUGAGCAGACCCAUGGAAGAAUUUAUUAUGUACAGUGAUUCAAAAUACUGGCCCCAUCUACCUAUUGUUUUCUAAACUCAUUGAAGUCCUAUGAUCCAGUCUGUUGAGUUUUUUCAUUAGAGAAAGAAGAAACCCUG
Canis lupus familiaris (dog) is the source of this 762-nucleotide long non-coding RNA. RefSeq lists it as uncharacterized. The record is from RefSeq and is a predicted model, not a curated record. Lineage: Eukaryota; Metazoa; Chordata; Mammalia; Carnivora; Canidae. The transcript is spliced from 5 exons.